AUCUAACAAAUAUCAGUCGAGCUCAAAACUUCAGUUGAUCGAGAAGUGAGGGCUAAUCUCAUCAACAGAUCCUCGAAUACAUGGCACCUGAUAUUGAUACCAGUCAGACCAAAAUCCUUGUGAAGAAUUUCAUUUAGUGGAGGUCAACUCGGAGGUCACAGUUCAUAACAAAAUGAACCGACCUCGGAAACCCAAUCAACUGAGAAACUAAAAACGAUCGUGCGAGCAAGUUUCAAGUAGUAGUGAGCCAAACCCCA
This 257-nucleotide long non-coding RNA is filed under the name Elaeis guineensis (African oil palm). RNAcentral describes it as "long non-coding RNA (EGUI_LNC024693)". Lineage: Eukaryota; Viridiplantae; Streptophyta; Magnoliopsida; Arecales; Arecaceae. The record is from RNAcentral.